Molecule: non-coding RNA, 46 nt
Organism: Schistosoma mattheei
Lineage: Eukaryota; Metazoa; Platyhelminthes; Trematoda; Strigeidida; Schistosomatidae
Source: Rfam
GCACUACUGAGGAGUUGCACAACAAGACGAAAUGGACGUCCAGUAC